ACGCCAAUCGUCCUAGGGCAUGGACCAACGUGGAUUAGGGGGCGGCCAAAGCUCGGGCUCUCGAUAUGCUCGUGGAAUGCUGUCUCCUCGAUUGUGGCAGGCAUCGCGUGCCUCCGGCGUGCUUCGGUAUCUGCGCGCUCUGGACGCUGGCCUGUGGGCUCCCCAUUCGACCCGUCUUGAAAGACGGACCAAGAAGUCUGACAUGUGUGCGGGUCAAUGGGCGAGUAAACCCGUAAAGCGCAAGGAAGCUGAUUGGUGGGAUCCCCCCGAGGGGUGCACCGCCGACCGACCUUGAUCUUCUGAGAAGGGUUCGAGUGUGAGCAUACCUGUCGGGACCCGAAAGAUGGUGAACUAUGCCUGAGCGGGGCGAAGCCAGAGGAAACUCUGCUGGAGGCCCGAAGCGAUACUGACAUGCAAAUCGUUCGUCUGACUUGGGUAUAGGGGCGAAAGACUAAUCAAACCAUCUAGUAGCUGGUUCCCUNGAGGCCCGCAGCGAUACUGACAUGCAAAUCGUUCGUCUGACUUGGGUAUAGGGGCGAAAGACUAAUCAAACCAUAUAGUAGCUGGUUCCCUCCGAAGUUUCCCUCAGGAUAGCUGGAGCUCGCGUGCGAGUUCUAUCAGGUAAAGCCAAUGAUUAGAGGCCUCGGGGGCGCAACGCCCUCGACCUAUUCUCAAACUUUAAAUAGGUAGGACGGCGCGGCUGCUUGGUUGAGCCGCGCCACGGAAUCAAGAGCNCAUUGAGCCACACCACGGAAUCAAGAGCUCCGAGUGGGCCAUUUUUGGUAACCAGAACUGGGGAUGCGGGAUGAACCGGAAGCCGGGUUACGGUGCCAAAAUGCGCGCUAACCUAGAUCCCACAAAGGGUGUGGGUCGAUUAAGACAGCAGGACGGUGGUCAUGGAAGUCGAAAUCCGCUAAGGAGUGUGUAACAACUCACCUGCCGAAUCAACUAGCCCCGAAAAUGGAUGGCGCUUAAGCGCGCGACCUACACCCGGCCGUCGGGGCAAGUGCCAGGCCCCGAUGAGUAGGAGGGCGCGGCGGUCGCUGCAAAACCUUGGGCGCGAGCCCGGGCGGAGCGGCCGUCGGUGCAGAUAUUGGUUGUAGUAGCAAAUAUUCAAAUGAGAACUUUGAAGGCCGAAGAGGGGAAAGGUUCUAUGUGAGCGGAACUUGCACAUGGGUUAGUCGAUCCUAAGGGUCAGGGAAACCCCGACAGACAGCGCGUUUCGCGCGUGCUCCGAAAGGGAAUCGGGUUAAAAUUCCUGAACCGGGACGUGGCGGUCGACGGCAACGUUAGGAAGUCCGGAGACGUCGGCGGGAGCCUCGGGAAGAGUUAUCUUUUCUGUUUAACAGCCUGCCCACCCUGGAAUCGGCUCAGCCGGAGGUAGGGUCCAGCGGCUGGAAGAGCACCGCACGUCGCGUGGUGUCCGGUGNCAUUCGUCCUUGAAAAAUCCCACCAAGUGCUGCGAGCUCACCUCACCCGAGUUAGCCAAGCGUCGCGUGCGUUCCAUUCCAAACAGUUAAGCAUACGAUAUCAAGUAGCCUUUCGCGAAAAACAACGGCAUCGCCACUUGAGGAUUUCCGCGAUUCGGAGUGCCUCAUAAGUGAUCAGCGAAGCACCGAGAACAACGUCGGUGCGUGGAGACAUGCCGCAAUUAGAGGUUUUUAUGACCGUCGAGUGCAAUGCUGGAGACGCCUCCAAUGACGAACUCCGACGGACGUAUAUUGGCCUGCCAUGGUGGUGUCUUUGUCAAGUUGGAUAUCCGUGAACCGUGGCACCAAGGCAACUUGGCAACGUGGCGCCAUGGCACCAAGGCACCGUGGCGCCAUGGCACCAAGGCACCAAGGCACCAUGGCUCUGUGGCGCCAUGGCACCGUGGCGCCAUGGCACCGUGGCGCCAUGGCACCGUGGCACCUAGGCACCAAGGCGCCGUGGCGCCAUGGCACCAAGGCACCAAGGCACCAUGGCGCCAUGGCCCCUAGGCAUCUUGGCGCCAUGGCACCUUGCAUACUCAUUUUUCUACAUAUCCGCUCUAAUUUUUUUAUUUUAAAUAUAUUUUGAUGUUACCUCAUAUGUCGUGGCAGUUUUCGUAAUGUCCCGUCGCCUUCUUUUCAAAUUUUUAUUUAAUAUCCUUAAAUUGAAAUAUUUUAUAUCGUUACGUCAUUCGUACAAAUGCGCACUCAAUUGUUGGUUUAAGGCUACUUCAUUCUAAUAUGCAUAUUUUGGGGUUGUCACUUAUCCGUUGCAUUUUGGGUGAUUUUCCUAAUGACCCCAUGUUAUUUUUAUAUUUUUUUAAAAUUUUUAUUUAAUAUCCUUAAAUUUAAAUAUUUUAUAUCGUUACGUUAUACGUACAAAUAUGCACUCGAUUGUUGGUUUAAGGUUAGUUCAUGCGCUAAGAAUAUUUUCCUAAUUUUUUCAUAUUUUUAUAGAUAUUUUUUCUAUUUUUGAUUUAUUUUUACAUAUUUUUUGAAUUUUAUUAAAUGAUAAUUGUAAAAAAAUAUUUUCUCAACGAAAAUUAUCAUUUGCAAAUU
RNAcentral lists this ribosomal RNA (2528 nucleotides) under Capsicum baccatum. RNAcentral's name for it is "eukaryotic LSU rRNA". The stretch from base 1 to 1536 matches the Rfam family "Eukaryotic large subunit ribosomal RNA", at positions 473 to 3401 of the family's 3401-position model. The record is from RNAcentral. Lineage: Eukaryota; Viridiplantae; Streptophyta; Magnoliopsida; Solanales; Solanaceae.